UACAGAGGGGGCAAGCGUUGUUCGGAAUUACUGGGCGUAAAGAGCUCGUAGGUGGUUUGUCGCGUUGUUCGUGAAAACUCACAGCUCAACUGUGGGCGUGCGGGCGAUACGGGCAGACUGGAGUACUGCAGGGGAGACUGGAAUUCCUGGUGUAGCGGUGGAAUGCGCAGAUAUCAGGAGGAACACCGGUGGCGAAGGCGGGUCUCUGGGCAGUAACUGACGCUGAGGAGCGAAAGCGUGGGGAGCGAACAGG
This 253-nucleotide ribosomal RNA is filed under the name uncultured bacterium. RNAcentral's name for it is "partial 16S ribosomal RNA". It matches the Rfam family "Bacterial small subunit ribosomal RNA", at positions 524 to 776 of the family's 1533-position model. The record is from RNAcentral.